GAGAGAGAAAGCGAGAGAGAGGGAGUCGGCAAGAGAAAGACAGAGAGGUAGAGCAAGCAAGAGAGCGCGAACAAGUAGAGGGAGGAAAAGAGACAGGGAGAAGCUGAACAUAGAAACAACACAUUGAUUGAAGAGGGUGACUUUCCUGUCAGCACUGAGAUGGAGGGAGAGAGAGAGACAGAGAGAGAGAGAGUGUGAGAGAGAGAGAGAGAGAUAGAGAAAGAGGGAGAGACACCAGCCAAUUGAGAGGCUGAGUGUCCCUCCUUUCCGGUCUGAACCCCAACCUCCAAAGUGACAGAACGAGCUCAAACUUGAGAGCAGAAAUAUGGACCGUGAACGGCCAGGAGAUGCAGACACAGCUCAGAGACUCGACGCGUGGAGCCUGACUCACACAGAGAGACAGAGAACACCCAAGUGAGUAUGUCUGAUUGUUGCUUAAAACAGAGCCUUACAGUGAUUGACAAUCUCACGGGAUUGUAAGUGAAGCCGACACGUAGCUGGCAGGUGAGGAGAUGUUGAGGUUAUUCUGACGGCAGAGAGGUUGCGUGGUGACACCCAUGCUGGGUUUGGAUGGUGGAAGAAAGUGGAAACGGUUUUCAGGAGCAGGAUUGCGAACCAGUGGGACAAAAGCUGGUCAGAAGCAGCAAAACAACCAGAGAGAGAGAGGAGAUGAGGAAGGCUUUAACUCAGGGAGCUGUGACAACACAGAACAUGCAGCCCAGGGGCGAGAGUGGCCAGAAACACAACAACGUGAAAAUUCCUGCUUAAAAGCAGAACAAAACCUGAUUCUUACUGUGACAAAAAACGAUGUCAUUAUUGGGCAUGUC
Long non-coding RNA from Hemiscyllium ocellatum (epaulette shark), 827 nucleotides. RefSeq lists it as uncharacterized. The record is from RefSeq and is a predicted model, not a curated record. The transcript is spliced from 3 exons. NCBI's taxonomy places the organism in Eukaryota, Metazoa, Chordata, Chondrichthyes, Orectolobiformes, Hemiscylliidae.